RNAcentral lists this transfer RNA (66 nucleotides) under Bacillota bacterium. Its description in RNAcentral is "tRNA-Asn". It matches the Rfam family "tRNA". From Rfam's summary of the family: Transfer RNA (tRNA) molecules are approximately 80 nucleotides in length. Their secondary structure includes four short double-helical elements and three loops (D, anti-codon, and T loops). Further hydrogen bonds mediate the characteristic L-shaped molecular structure. tRNAs have two regions of fundamental functional importance: the anti-codon, which is responsible for specific mRNA codon recognition, and the 3' end, to which the tRNAs corresponding amino acid is attached (by aminoacyl-tRNA synthetases). tRNAs cope with the degeneracy of the genetic code in two manners: having more than one tRNA (with a specific anti-codon) for a particular amino acid; and 'wobble' base-pairing, i.e. permitting non-standard base-pairing at the 3rd anti-codon position. The record is from RNAcentral. Lineage: Bacteria; Bacillati; Bacillota.
GGCCAAUUAGCUCAGUCGGUAGAGCACUCGGCUGUUAACCGAUAGGUCGUAGGUUCGAGCCCUACA